GGGAAUCUACCCUGAACUGCGGAAUAGCUCCGGGAAACUGGAAUUAAUACCGCAUGUGCCCUGAGGGCAAAGAUUUAUCGGUUCAGGAUGAGCCCGCGUCGGAUUAGCUAGUUGGUGGGGUAAUGGCCUACCAAGGCGACGAUCCGUAGCUGGUCUAAGAGGAUGAUCAGCCACAUUGGGACUGAGACACGGCCCAAACUCCUACGGGAGGCAGCAGUGGGGAAUAUUGGACAAUGGGCGCAAGCCUGAUCCAGCCAUGCCGCGUGAGUGAUGAAGGCCCUAGGGUUGUAAAGCUCUUUCAGUGGGGACGAUAAUGACGGUACCCACAGAAGAAGCCCCGGCUAACUUCGUGCCAGCAGCCGCGGUAAUACGAAGGGGGCUAGCGUUGUUCGGAAUUACUGGGCGUAAAGCGCACGUAGGCGGAUAUUUAAGUCAGGGGUGAAAUCCCGGGGCUCAACCCCGGAACUGCCUUUGAUACUGGAUGUCUUGAGUCCGGAAGAGGUGAGUGGAAUUGCGAGU
This 519-nucleotide ribosomal RNA is filed under the name uncultured bacterium. RNAcentral describes it as "bacterial SSU rRNA". It matches the Rfam family "Bacterial small subunit ribosomal RNA", at positions 120 to 674 of the family's 1533-position model. The record is from RNAcentral.